This 76-nucleotide transfer RNA is filed under the name bacterium. Its description in RNAcentral is "tRNA-OTHER". It matches the Rfam family "tRNA". From Rfam's summary of the family: Transfer RNA (tRNA) molecules are approximately 80 nucleotides in length. The record is from RNAcentral.
GUUUCGAUAGCUCAUUGGCAGAGCGUGUCGCCUGAAAACGACAAGGUAGCGGGUUCGAUUCCAGCUCGAAACACCA